CCUACGGGUGGCAGCAGUGAGGAAUAUUGGUCAAUGGACGAGAGUCUGAACCAGCCAAGUAGCGUGAAGGAUGACUGCCCUAUGGGUUGUAAACUUCUUUUAUAUGGGAAUAAAAUGUUCCACGUGUGGGAUUUUGUAUGUACCAUCUGAAUAAGGAUCGGCUAACUCCGUGCCAGCAGCCGCGGUAAUACGGAGGAUCCGAGCGUUAUCCGGAUUUAUUGGGUUUAAAGGGAGCGUAGGUGGAUUGUUAAGUCAGUUGUGAAAGUUUGCGGCUCAACCGUAAAAUUGCAGUUGAAACUGGCAGUCUUGAGUACAGUAGAGGUGGGCGGAAUGCGUGGUGUAGCGGUGAAAUGCUUAGAUAUCACGAAGAACUCCGAUUGCGAAGGCAGUUCACUGGACUGCAACUGACACUGAGGCUCGAAAGUGUGGGUAUCAAACAGGAUUAGAUACCCCUGUAGUC
Molecule: ribosomal RNA, 460 nt
Filed under: uncultured bacterium
Lineage: Bacteria
Description: partial 16S ribosomal RNA
Rfam family: Bacterial small subunit ribosomal RNA
Source: RNAcentral